GGAUGAACGCUGGCGGCGUGCCUAAUACAUGCAAGUCGAGCGAACGGACGAGAAGCUUGCCUCUCUGAUGUUAGCGGCGGACGGGUGAGUAACACGUGGAUAACCUACCUAUAAGACUGGGAUAACUUCGGGAAACCGGAGCUAAUACCGGAUAAUAUUUUGAACCGCAUGGUUCAAAAGUGAAAGACGGUCUUGCUGUCACUUAUAGAUGGAUCCGCGCUGCAUUAGCUAGUUGGUAAGGUAACGGCUUACCAAGGCAACGAUGCAUAGCCGACCUGAGAGGGUGAUCGGCCACACUGGAACUGAGACACGGUCCAGACUCCUACGGGAGGCAGCAGUAGGGAAUCUUCCGCAAUGGGCGAAAGCCUGACGGAGCAACGCCGCGUGAGUGAUGAAGGUCUUCGGAUCGUAAAACUCUGUUAUUAGGGAAGAACAUAUGUGUAAGUAACUGUGCACAUCUUGACGGUACCUAAUCAGAAAGCCACGGCUAACUACGUG
This 498-nucleotide ribosomal RNA is filed under the name uncultured bacterium. RNAcentral's name for it is "partial 16S ribosomal RNA". It matches the Rfam family "Bacterial small subunit ribosomal RNA", at positions 27 to 507 of the family's 1533-position model. The record is from RNAcentral.